CAUUUGUACUACUUUUCCCAGAAAACAGAACAACCUAGCUGUAACUAUAAAUCUUCCCUACUUGCCAUGCAUUUACACAAAAAAACUAGUUUGCACCUUAAAAAAUGUUGUAAAUCUGGCAACUACAUCUAUUAAAACCUGACAAUCCAGGUAUUGUAUAUCGGACAACUACAUCUCACUUAAAACCUGGCCACUACACCUGCUUAAACAUGGCAACCAUGUGUGAUACAUCUAAACAACUAUGCCUCAUUAAAACAGAACAACCAUCUGUUUAUGAAAAUGUCAAUCAC
This 290-nucleotide long non-coding RNA is filed under the name Hordeum vulgare. RNAcentral's name for it is "long non-coding RNA (HVUL_LNC019997)". The record is from RNAcentral. Lineage: Eukaryota; Viridiplantae; Streptophyta; Magnoliopsida; Poales; Poaceae.